RNAcentral lists this ribosomal RNA (404 nucleotides) under uncultured cyanobacterium. Its description in RNAcentral is "bacterial SSU rRNA". It matches the Rfam family "Bacterial small subunit ribosomal RNA", at positions 370 to 788 of the family's 1533-position model. Lineage: Bacteria; Bacillati; Cyanobacteriota. The record is from RNAcentral.
AAUGGGCGAAAGCCUGACGGAGCAAUACCGCGUGAGGGAAGAAGGCUCUUGGGUUGUAAACCUCUUUUCUCAGGGAAUAAAAAAAUGAAGGUACCUGAGGAAUAAGCAUCGGCUAACUCCGUGCCAGCAGCCGCGGUAAUACGGAGGAUGCAAGCGUUAUCCGGAAUGAUUGGGCGUAAAGCGUCCGCAGGUGGUACAACAAGUCUAGUGUCAAAGACCGGGGCUCAACCCCGGAAAGGCGGUGGAAACUGUUGAACUAGAGGGUCGUAGGGGUAGAGGGAAUUCCCAGUGUAGCGGUGAAAUGCGUAGAGAUUGGGAAGAACAUCGGUGGCGAAGGCGCUCUACUGGACGGCAACUGACACUCAGGGACGAAAGCUAGGGGAGCGAAUGGGAUUAGAUACCCC